GUGUAAAAGGAAUGGAGAGCAUGUGUUUGUAAGAUGAUUCCUUCAUCUUUUGGUUCGGUGCAUUGUUCCCAAAAAGGGCAGAAAGGAAUAGAAAUAGCUAUGGGUUUUCUCUAGGUGUCGAAGGAAGAAGAAAAAUGCAUCGGGUAAUCUUUAGACAUCCGAAUGGGAAUUCGUUUUCGCCUCUGCAAUCAAGAAAUCUACCUCUACGAACGAAGUGCGAUAUGGUUGAAUUGAGGGUCCUAGAAGUCUCAAGGCUGGUUGAACAACAUAAUUAGAGAAGAUUGAGAAUAGGCACUUUCUUGGCUUAAGCAAACCAAGAGAUAAGAGUGAACAACUUGUGGAACGAGUUAGUACCUUCUUGGAAUAUCAGGUGUUGUGCAAGAAAUAAUGGAAGAGUUGGACUAAGGUGUGUGGUUGUAGCUUGUCAACCUAAAAGCUUCCAACCAGAAAAGCAACUUUUGAAAUAUAAAUAUUGAUUUUCUGGUUUCAGUGAAACAUGUCUGUGUUUAUCCUCUUUGCUUCUGUAUAUAUAUAUAUGUCUAAACCUAUCACUCAUUUGGCUUGUAAACUGAACUUUUGGAACUUCUGUUGUAAAAAGGUUGCUUAAGAAAUGGUUUGAAUGUUUUGGUUUUCACUUAAA
Molecule: long non-coding RNA, 640 nt
Organism: Malus domestica (apple)
Lineage: Eukaryota; Viridiplantae; Streptophyta; Magnoliopsida; Rosales; Rosaceae
Source: RefSeq, a predicted model, not a curated record